This 443-nucleotide ribosomal RNA is filed under the name uncultured bacterium. Its description in RNAcentral is "bacterial SSU rRNA". It matches the Rfam family "Bacterial small subunit ribosomal RNA", at positions 28 to 507 of the family's 1533-position model. The record is from RNAcentral.
GAUGAACGCUGGCGGCGUGCCUAAUACAUGCAAGUCGAGCGGUAAGGUCCCUUCGGGGAUACACGAGCGGCGGACGGCUGAGUAACACGUAGGAACGUACCCCAAACUGAGGGGAUAACUGCUCGAAAGAGUAGCUAAUACCGCAUGUGGUCUUCGGAUUAAAGCUUCGGCGGUUUGGGAACGGCCUGCGCAUGAUUAGCUUGUUGGUAAGGUAAUGGCUUACCAAGGCGAUGAUCAUUAGCUGGUCUGAGAGGAUGAUCAGCCAGACUGGGACUGAGAACGGCCCAGACUCCUACGGGAGGCAGCAGUAGGGAAUUUUCCACAAUGGACGAAAGUCUGAUGGAGCAACGCCGCGUGCAGGAUGAAGGCCUUCGGGUUGUAAACUGCUUUUAUAUGUGACGAUUAUGACGGUAGCAUAUGAAUAAGGAUCGGCUAACUCCGUG